CGGAAACGGUAGCUAAUACCCGAUACAUCCUUUUCCUGCAUGGGAGAAGGAGGAAAGACGGAGCAAUCUGUCGCUUGUGGAUGGGCCUGCGGCGCAUUAGCUAGUUGGUGGGGUAAAGGCC
RNAcentral lists this ribosomal RNA (121 nucleotides) under Paenibacillus polymyxa. RNAcentral describes it as "partial 16S ribosomal RNA". It matches the Rfam family "Bacterial small subunit ribosomal RNA", at positions 151 to 265 of the family's 1533-position model. The record is from RNAcentral. Lineage: Bacteria; Bacillati; Bacillota; Bacilli; Caryophanales; Paenibacillaceae.